GGAAAGGACCCAUCAGGAUCAUUGAGUCCAACUCCUGGCCCUCUGCAGAAAACAAGAAUCCCACCAUGUGCCUGAGACACUGAGUCCCUUCCUUAGCAUCUCAUAGUGCCUCAGGUUUCUAAGUUCACAGAGAGCAGGCUUCCAGACUUUCCCUGGCAGUCAUGAAGGAUGAAAACACUGUUUUGAAGGUUGCACUUUUCGCAUACCUUCUUUCACAUUCUUGGGAUCAGUGCUCUGAGAGACCAUGGCUGCUGUACCAAGCUGGGAUGGGACAGAGAAGAUGUCCUGUCCAGGAACACAAAUGCUGCAAGGUUGUGGCUGUGGGUCCUCAAGGAAGCUUGGAACUGCUAUGGAACUUGGCCCAUGGAGUUUGAGGGCCCAUGGGAUGAACUUCCCUGCAUCAGUAAACAACUACAUACACUUGGAACAUGUUCCUCCCAAGCAAAGAAAGCACUGGUCCCUGGCAUUAUACAACUCAUAAAUUGGUCUUGCAGCCUACUGGAUCUCCAGAUACCUGAAAAGCUUUGAGAGCUACUGCUCAUUCAGCAGCUUAUGGUUCCUUCUGGAGGUCUAAUUUAGCCUGGAAACUUUGAAGGGUUCAUGCCACCUUGCCUUGGACAUCCUCAACUCAACAGCACUACAGGGAAAAGAAAAGAGUGGAGGAUUUAUUGCAGGAUGGCAUUAGCAAGGGUGUGGUAAGAAGGGACAAAAUCGAAACCUAACAGUGUACUAUAAAUGCAAAGGAGAGAAGUAAUAAUUCACCUCUCUUUUAUCACUUCCACAGUGUGUUUUGUUCCAGAAACAACAGAGACUUUUAUCUGAAAGUCCUUGGAUGACCGAUCCCAUUUAAAUUCAGCCUCAGCCUCUGCAGGCUGAAGUAAGGCCUGACCAUGCUGUGAGGUGGAGCCAGCAGGGACCCCAAAUAUUUUCCAGCUCUAAAAAAGCAUGGUCAGAUUAUUGUUUCAAAAGGAAGAUUAACACCUCUCUGAAGUCAAAGGCGUGCACAAAAACCCAGGAAAGGGGAUUUCUGUUCCUCCCUGAGGUGCAUGCAAAGUCUUUCUUGGAAGAAAGAAGUGGCUGCAUUUUUCUUUCAGGUUUAUCUCACAGGCACGUGAAAGGCAAUUGGGGCUUCCCAAACCAUCAAUUAAAUGCUGUGAGAAUUUGUAAAAGUUAACAAGGGAAAGAGGGAGUUAUCUGAGGAUUCUUAAACCAUUUUAAGCAGGAGCAUGGAAAGAUUGCCGAGCACAAGUUUUAAACCCAUCAUAUUUCAAGCAUCUAAAAUCUUUGUCCCAAGGUCUCACUGCUAGAUUAAGCUUGGUCACAGAACACAAGACAGCAGGGCUGCUGACUUUAAUUCAAGGAGGAUUUGGACAACGCUCUCAGCACACGGUGGAAUUCUUGGAGUGCCCUGUGUUUGGCAAAGAUGAACUCCAGGAACCUCGUGGGUCCCUUCCAACACAGGACAUUCUCUGACUCUGUGGCUUGGGAUGGCUGCCGUGCCCACCACCCUCUGCCGAGGGCUGCGCACCCCCCGUCACCGCCCGACCCCGCUGAUACACGGGGCACUGAAGGAGGCUGAAACUUCGCUCCGGGCUGGCAGGGAAGAGAAGGGCCGGGAAGGGCUGGGGCUGCGGCGGAAGGGCCCCGACACCGCGCU
Long non-coding RNA from Oenanthe melanoleuca, 1657 nucleotides. RefSeq lists it as uncharacterized. The record is from RefSeq and is a predicted model, not a curated record. NCBI's taxonomy places the organism in Eukaryota, Metazoa, Chordata, Aves, Passeriformes, Muscicapidae. The transcript has 4 exons.